GCCGUGUAGCGUACGGAUAAGGCGAAAGCUUUGUUUAUAAUUGUAUUAAAACUGCUCAGCCAGAUAAAAUUGGUGAAUGUAGUGAAGGAUGUCAAUCAUUCCCGCUGCUACGCAGCUAAUUUCAUAAGUAAAUGCCAUAAACAGCAAAAAAUGAAAAAAGACGAAGAAGAAGUAAUUCUUUCUGUUCGAGAUCAACGGAUUUCGGUCGCAGGAGCGUGUUUUUGUGAAGUGCAUUUUGAAGAAAACCAGUUUGAAUGUUCUAGGAAAGAUGGGUUUAAAAAACUAAAGCCUUGUUUAAUGUGCCUAAUCCAACACAACUGUUGACCCCACAGCAUGUAAAAGGCAUUGGGUUUACCAAACUACCAUUCAAUGAUAUCCAGUUUUUAAAAUGUAUGUUUUUUUUUUAAGUUUUAUAGUUUUCAUAAAAAAUGUUUCAUAUUAAAAAUGGACCAAUUUGUUUUAUAAAUAAAUCAAAAUAUUGAAAUUCAGGCAUUAUAUGAUUAAGCUUUAAUUUCAGUGCUUAAGAAUAGAUUAAAAAUUGAAAUUUUUAAUAGAUAAUAAUUCAUAAUACUGUUUAAAUUUUGCUGUUAUAUAUAUAUAAUUAAAUGUGUAUUUUAUUAUAAUAAUCAUAUUUAAAAUGAGGCAUAAAAGCAACCUCAAUUUGAUAUAGUUUUUGAUUAAAAUUACUGAUUUCGAGGCCUAUCAGACACAGGUCUCAUUUCUUCAGAUUUGCCCCUAAA
This is a long non-coding RNA of Stegodyphus dumicola, 740 nucleotides long. NCBI's taxonomy places the organism in Eukaryota, Metazoa, Arthropoda, Arachnida, Araneae, Eresidae. The record is from RefSeq and is a predicted model, not a curated record.